AAACAUGAAAAGUCUUUAAUACCCUUCUUCCAACUAUUACACCCUAACCUCCCAAUCUCUGUUUCGUCUCUCCCUCAUCAUUUUGUUCAUAGCUAUUUUCCCAAAAAACAUCUGCAGGUCACUCUCUCUUUAUAUAUAUACAUAUAUCUUUCUAUAUAUCUUAUCCGGAUACCCAAAAAUGGGAGGUGGAGCCUUUAGGUAAGUUUAGUGUGAAAUCAGCCUACCGAUUAGCUGUGACGCUCUCUCCAAAUUCCAAUCCUCAUGCCUUACACACGGCAGACAAUCAGCUGAUCUCUUGUGGAUGGUGGAGUGACUUGUGGUCCCUUUAAUUGCCUUAUAAAAUUAAACAUUUUCUUUGGAAAUGUUGCUAGGAGAUUCUCCCCACAGGCUUUGCUUUUGCUCGUUGUGGUUGUUUGGCAAAUCCGAUUUAUCCAUGAUGUGGGUUGGAUGUGAGGGGUGUUCAUCAUAUUUUCUUUCGUUGUUCUUUUUCGCUUCAGGUGUGGAAGUUAUCCCCCCUCCGUUGGGAUUUUCUAGCCCAUCCCAUUUCUGCUUUUCUUGACUGGUGGAAUGAUAUUCAGGGUGGAUCAGCUUUGUCUAAGGAGGAUAAAUCUUUUACGGUGGGGAUGGCGUCUUUUUGUUUGUGGACAAUCUGGAAGGCUAGGAAUAAAUUAAUUUUUGAUCAACUUGAAUGGAGUCCAGUUUUAGUUGCAAAUUGGGCUUCCACUCGUUAUUGGGAAUUUGUUUCUGUGCAACGAAAAUGUCAAAUGAUCCUUCAUCCUUCGCAAAGAUCAAAUGCCCCUCUCGCUAGAUUCGUCCAAAGCAUGGUGUUGUUAAAUGUAAUGUUGACACAUCUUUUUCAAAACUGCUCAACGAGGUGGUGGUGGUGCGGUGUGCAGAGACUCCUUCGGUGCGGUUCUUCAAGCGGUGGUCUGGUUUGAAUCGGAUUGUAAAGGCGUGGUGGAGGCUAUUGAUGGUAUUAUUCCUACGGAUGCCUCACUUGUUACUUUGGUUACUGAGAUAAGACAGGAACUGCAAUCUCUAUCGAGGUUUUCCAUUUUGCAUGUUCGACGACAUGGAAACCAAGUGGCGAAUGCUUUUGCCAAUUUCACAGCAGGGGUUGACUACGGAUUCGGUGCUUCACUUUCUACCAUUGUCUAUCUUUAAGCUUUUGGAAUUGGAUGUUGUAGUUUCUACGAGUAGUCUUUUGCUUUCUUGUGGAUUGGUGUUGCAAGGGAAAAAAAAAUAUAAAAAAAAUCUCGCUGAAACAAUAUAUAUAUAUAUAUAUAUAUAUAUAUAUAUAUAUAUAUAUAAAGAAACUGUAAUUAAAAAUGAAAUCAUUCACUCAACCAUAUAUUUGAAUGCAGCUGCAGCCAGUAAUUUAUUGCUGCUAUUAAGCUAAGAAAACCAAAACUAAAAAUUCAUUUCUAGCUAAUAUUAUUAAAAAAGCAAAAAAAAAAAAAAAAAAUUAAAUUAAAUCCUCAACUGUAAAAUUUACAAAGCUCAAAAUUGUUUUGCACCCCCACCCCCAAAUAGAAAUUGGGGAACAGGAAGAAAAAAUUGAAAAUUGAAAUCUAAACAAGUGAUGCAUUUGGAAGCUGCACUUCGGACCGCUUCGCCUCAUAUCAUCAACAAGAGAGCAAAGAUGUUCAAAAUUAAAACAGACUAGAGAAAGAAAAGGGAAGGAUGGGAAUAUUAUUUUUAUUUUCAAAAUUUGCUUUCUUUAGCAAAAUUAAACCAGCUACACAUGAAUACAUAUUGAAGAAACCCCUACCUGUUGCCGGAAAUAUAUUUCCAAAACUCAUUCCCUUAAUUCUUCAAACCUCUAAACUCCUCUCUUUCUUCUCUCCCUCUGUCUCUCUUUCUCUAAAUAUAUAUAUAUACACACACACAUAUAUAUGCUCUUGUGCAACUCUCCGACAUAAUCGAUUCCAGCGGGAUCGUGGUUGCGCGAUUCCAGUGAGGCUAAAGAGACAAUCGGCUGAGGAAGAUUUUUUUUUUUUUUAAGUGUCGUUUCUCUGAUGGUGGGGAUGAUGAUGACAACGAAUGAUGCCUCUUUGACAUUGUUGUACAACAAAAUUUCAAGAAAUUAUAUAUACCGAUCGUUUAUUUGGACUAAGAUCAGGGAUCCAAGCUUCAUUGAUUAAUCAAAUCAAUGAUUGGAGAGUUGAGAAAGAAGAUGUUGCAAGAGAUUUUACGCAAAAAAAAUAAAAUAAAAUGUUGCAGAAAUAUUUGGUCUUUGCUCAGUUAAAGAUUAAAACUAUGGGUAAGUACAAUAAACAAUUUUGAAGUAUACCUUUUAUUACAUUUUUACGUUUUUAUUUAAAAACGUGUGUAAAAAUAUCUUUAUUCUUUUUACUUUGUACAAAAAUAUCUCUGAAUUAAUAUAAGAUUCAUUUUAUCUUUUCAUUUUUCCAAAAAUACCCUUAUCAAAUUUUUUUUUUUCCUUUUGAUUUUGAAGGGAGCCUAAUAUUUAUCCCAUUUUUGCAGAGAAUGGUCUUUAGCGAGAUUCUAAUUGGAGAGCUCUCGCAUAACCAGGUUAGGGAAGCACAUCGAUCACUAGUAAAAGACCCAUUCGCAAACCCCACGUCACCAUAGUCUGUCUUGCCUCACCAUCACCAAAACCCAAACAACCACACCGGCGAGGAUGAAGACGACGGCCGCGAUGAGCUCGGCUGACCGACGGCGGCUCAGAGGGGUCUGAACGGCGAGCAAGGCGGUGACGGACAGCGAUUCCGGCGAUGGGCUGUGGAGAGGACUGGUUCGGCUGCCGCCGCUUACCACCACCAACCCUCUGUCAUAUAUAUACAUAUAUGAUUAUACACAGAUAUACACACACGUAUUUGCACACAGAAUUGUUGCAUAUACCCAAUAUUUCACAUAUAUUGGGUAUAUAUAUAUAAAUGGGUAUGUGUUUGUGUGUGUGUAUAUAUAUAUAUAUAUAUAUGAGAGAGAUCGCGAGGAGUACCAUCUACUGGACGGCGAGCUCUGAUUUGGGCGAACGUAUGGGACGAAUUUGGUCUAAUUUAUAAUCGAUGAAUUCCAGUUUCUUUUCCCGGGCACCACUGGUUCACACUCUGAUACAACGACUUCCAAGAAAGCAAAGUGGUGAACUUUUCAUUGAUUUUUAUCUGAAAGACAAGUCAAGCAAAUCGCCCAGUGCCAAUGAAGACGCGGAUCCGAUCUAGCUGAUCAUUUGACGAAGUACCGAUUAGAUUGGUUGAUUUCACUUUCUAGGGCUGCGGACUAGGUUGGUGUUGAAGUGGUAGAGGAAGAAGGUGAGGUAAGGGAAGGUUGUGAGGAUGGUGCGGCAGAGGUCGGCGCGGCGGUGGGCGAAGGAGAAAGGUAGAGAGAGAGUGAAGGAGGGAGAAGACGAGGGAGAAGGGCCAAGCCCUUUUUAGUCAUUUCACAUAUAUAUAUUUUUUUUAUAUAUAUAUAUUAUAAAAUUUGUUGUUAAGGUAUUUUAGUUCAAUUUUUAUAAAUAAAAUUUAUUUAAAUAAAUGUUAUAGUUUAAGGGUAUUUUUUACAAGGGUGCAAUAUGCACUGUAAACAUAUUAUAAGGAUGUUUUUUUGCGCUUGAUCUUCAAAUUACAUACCUCCGAAGGAAAGGGUAAAAUAAUCCUUCGUCUUUUUAGGUGACCUACUGGAUAAAUUGUAAUAAAAUUAUAAUUCAAGAGAAUUUAUUGUAAUUUAAGAAAGUUUCUUGCAUUUUUCCGUUAUAUAUGAUGUCACCUCAUCAGCAUACUUUGCCGGAGGCUUGUUUUUGUUUUACUUUGAAAAGAAUCUCCUUUCUGAUUUUCUCUGAUAUUUGUAA
Cornus florida is the source of this 3811-nucleotide long non-coding RNA. RefSeq lists it as uncharacterized. The transcript is spliced from 2 exons. The record is from RefSeq and is a predicted model, not a curated record. NCBI's taxonomy places the organism in Eukaryota, Viridiplantae, Streptophyta, Magnoliopsida, Cornales, Cornaceae.